CAGCAGCCGCGGUAAUACGAAGGGGGCUAGCGUUGUUCGGAAUUACUGGGCGUAAAGCGCACGUAGGCGGAUCGAUCAGUCAGGGGUGAAAUCCCAGGGCUCAACCCUGGAACCGCCUUUGAUACUGUCGAUCUGGAGUAUGGAAGAGGUGAGUGGAAUUCCGAGUGUAGAGGUGAAAUUCGUAGAUAUUCGGAGGAACACCAGUGGCGAAGGCGGCUCACUGGUCCAUUACUGACGCUGAGGUGCGAAAGCGUGGGGAGCAAACAGGAUUAGAUACCCCUGUAGUCCCUGUCUCUUAUAU
This 301-nucleotide ribosomal RNA is filed under the name uncultured bacterium. RNAcentral describes it as "partial 16S ribosomal RNA". It matches the Rfam family "Bacterial small subunit ribosomal RNA", at positions 509 to 809 of the family's 1533-position model. The record is from RNAcentral.